Molecule: ribosomal RNA, 482 nt
Filed under: uncultured bacterium
Lineage: Bacteria
Description: partial 16S ribosomal RNA
Rfam family: Bacterial small subunit ribosomal RNA
Source: RNAcentral
AGUGAACGUUGGCGGCGUGGAUUAGGCAUGCAAGUCGGGCGAGAACCGUAGCAAUACGGGGACAGCGGCGAAAGGGACAGUAAUGUGUAGGUACCUACCUCCGGGUUCGGGAUAGCUGCGGGAAACUGCAGGUAAUACCGAAUAACGCCUCCGGACCAAAGGUGUGAUUCCACCUGGAGAGGGGCCUGCAUCCUAUUAGCUUGUUGGCGGGGUAGCGGCCCACCAAGGCGACGAUGGGUAGCGGGUGUGAGAGCACGACCCGCGUCAUUGGGACUGAGACACUGCCCAGACACCUACGGGUGGCUGCAGUCGUGAAUCUUCGGCAAUGGGCGCAAGCCUGACCGAGCGACGCCGCGUGCGGGAUGAAGGCCUUCGGGUUGUAAACCGCUGUCGUAGAGGAGGAAAUGCAGGGGGGUUCUCCCCUCUGUUUGACCUAUUCUAGGAGGAAGUACGGGCUAAGUUCGUGCCAGCCGCCGCGGUAA